Long non-coding RNA from Scylla paramamosain (green mud crab), 703 nucleotides. RefSeq lists it as uncharacterized. The record is from RefSeq and is a predicted model, not a curated record. Lineage: Eukaryota; Metazoa; Arthropoda; Malacostraca; Decapoda; Portunidae. The transcript has 4 exons.
CCUCUCCCCAAGUCUGCCAACCUCUCCGCACACACACCUAGCUCGCCUCAGAUCUGACAACCUUCCCGUUUCGGCCGCCACACAGCACUACCAACCGACGCGCUGCCCGCUGCUUCACUCACCAAGAUUGCCAACCCUACGGGCUGCCAACUGUCCCGACGCUGCUUGGCCACUACUUCCUAGCCUCCCUCAACCACCCCAAAAGAUUGUGGUCCUUCCCUGUCCCGCUCCACCUCAUCAAUCUAUUCCACCACGCGUACCAACUGUACAACACCUCGCAUCAACGUUAUUCAAUAGCAAUCAAUGGAUCUUGGUCCCCUCCAUGUACCAGUGGACAUGACUCAUCAAUCCGAGGUGUGCAAGGGUGCCAACACUGACAAGCUAACAUGAUUUCCCCGCUGCCUGGCGAGGUCCCCUGACUUUCACCGGAACUUUCAUGAGGGAGGCCGUCAUCUGAGCUGCUUAUAACACUCCCCUGGGGGGUGGGGCGGAAAGUACGUGUGUACAAUAUGAACAAGUAGGAGAAAUGAUGAGUAUACUGUAAAAUUCGUAUGAUAUGUUGUCUACUUGUGUUACCGAUAAAUAAAUAUUCAUGAGUCAAGGGCAAGAAGUAAUGAUGGGUGGUAACAUCACUGUAACUUCCAUUACAAGCAAGUUUCCUUUUUGAGGUUGUUGUUGUUAUCGUAAAUAAAUAUAAUGAAAA